This is an RNA transcript of Hypomesus transpacificus, 2412 nucleotides long. It is a transcript of the gene named fleer, with no coding region annotated. NCBI's taxonomy places the organism in Eukaryota, Metazoa, Chordata, Actinopteri, Osmeriformes, Osmeridae. The transcript is spliced from 19 exons. The record is from RefSeq and is a predicted model, not a curated record.
UUACGGUGUGCGUUCACAAAGGAAACAAAUACGAUUAGCAAGGUGGAGCAGGAUAAAACGAAAAUUACAAAGUAUUAUUUGUUUUCCAAAGAAAAAGUAAUGACGCUAACAACUAUUAAGGACGGCGAAUAUACGGCCACAGUUUACAGAAUGAUAAAGGAUGGGCGUUAUGGAGAAGCCAUCAACAUCCUAAGCAAUGAACUUCAGAAACAGAUGAAGUCCAGGGUAGCCUUGUCUCUGCUGGGUUACUGCUACUAUCACAUGCAGGAGUUCACCAAUGCGGUGGAGUGCUACGAGCAGCUGACCCAACUGCACCCCGAGGUGGAGGAAUACAAACUGUACUACGCCCAGUCUCUGUAUGGGGCCUGUGCAUACCCAGAGGCAAUGAAGGCCACCUUCCUCCUGGACAACCCCAACAGCCAUACUAAGAUGAUUAAACUGCAAGCAGCCAUCAAAUAUGGUGAGGAGGAGUACUCUGGAGCAAAGACGCUGGUGGAACAGCUUCCCCAGGAUGACCCAGACUAUGAUGUGGACAUGGGCUGUCUGCUCUACCAGGAGGGCGAGUACAAGGAGGCCUGCAAGAAGUUCAUGUCUGCCAUGCAGGUGCUGGGCUACCAACCAGACCUCUCCUACAACAUCGGAUUGUGCUACUACAGCAUGAAGCAGUAUGCUCAGGCUCUCAAGUACAUCAGUGAGAUCAUAGAGCGUGGGAUAAGGGAGCACCCGGAGCUGAGUGUGGGCAUGACCACGGAGGGCAUCGAUGUGAGGAGUGUGGGAAACACACUGGGACUUCACGAGACCGCCCUGAUCGAGGGCUUCAACCUGAAGGCCGCCAUCGAGUACCAGUUAAAAAACAAUGACGGCGCGCAAGAAGCAUUGACGGACAUGCCCCCCAGAUCAGACGAGGAGCUGGACCCGGUGACCCUGCACAACCAGGCGCUGAUGAACAUGGAUAAGAAGCCGUCGGAGGGCUUUGAGAAGCUGGCCUUCCUUCUGCAGCAAAUCCCUUUCCCCCCUGUCACAUUUGGCAACCUGCUGCUGCUCUACUGCCGAUACGAGUACUUUGACUUAGCUGCCGAUGUGCUGGCUGAAAACGCUCACCUCACCUACAAGUUCCUCUCACCGUAUUUGUAUGAGUUUUUAGAUGCCAUGUUGACCUGCCAGACAGCCCCAGAAGAGGCCUUUAGGAAGUUUGACGAGAUGAAUGCCAAGCUCACAGAACAAUUGCGCAAGCUAGGAAAACAGGUGCAGGAAGCCCGGCUAGCUCGUGACGAUGAAGCCUUAAAAAAGGUUCUGCAAGACUAUGAUGAAAUAUUGGAGAAGUAUAUCCCAGUCCUCAUGGCUCAGGCCAAGAUCUACUGGAACAGGGAGAACUACCACGUGGUGGAGAAGAUCUUCCGUAAAUCGGUGGAGUUCUGCAACGAGCACGACACAUGGAAUCUUAACGUGGCCCACGUGCUCUUCAUGCAGGAGAACAAGUAUAAAGAGGCCAUCGGCUUCUACGAGCCCAUCGUCAAGAAACACUACGACAAUAUACUAAACGUUAGUGCUGUGGUCCUGGCAAACCUUUGUGUAUCCUACAUCAUGACCAGCCAGAAUGAAGAGGCAGAAGAACUGAUGAGGAAGAUCGAGAAAGAGGAGGAGCAGAUCUCCUAUGAUGACCCAGACAAGAAGGUCUUCCACCUCUGCAUAGUCAACCUUGUGAUCGGUACCUUGUAUUGUGCCAAGGGAAACUAUGACUUUGGCAUCACCCGCGUGAUCAAGAGCCUGGAGCCCUACAACAAGAAGGUUCUUCAUUCUGGGGUGUCAAGCUGGGUACAGACACAUGGUUCUACGCCAAGCGCUGCUUCCUCUCCCUAUUGGAGAACAUGGCCAAGCACAUGAUUAUGCUGAGGGACUCUGUGGUGCAGGAGGGUAUUCAGUUCCUGGAGCACUGCGAAGUGUAUGGUAAAAAUGAGCCAGCGAUGAUUGAGCAGCCCUUGGAGGAGGACCACGUGCACAUUGGCAAGAACACGGUCACCUACGAGUCACGCCUGCUCAAGGCUUUGUUCUAUGAGGUUAUCGGAUGGAACCAGUAAUCAAAUGGAAUGAAAUGAAUUAUAUCAUUAAACCAAGGCAUGGAUAGAAUUUGGGAUGUACAACCUAAAAACUCUUUAUGAUCUUCAAUAGAAGACAAUUACCACAAUGGACCUUGACAUUACUCUUCCCAGUCCAUAUAAGUAUAUGUCUAGGGAGGUUAUGAUAGUUGCUUUGACUUCUCUCAUGCACUUGUAUAGUUUAGGUAUGUGUUAGUUCAGUUGGGACAGUUUUGGAAAUUAGUUAUUUAAAACAUGUUCAAACCUGUAAUAAUACAACCCAUUGUUGUUUUUUUGUUUUGUUUUUCUACAGAAUAAAAAAUGUAUGUACAAGAUA